UACCUUUCUUUUCCAACCAAUCCUUAAACUUUUGACAUUCCUUCUUCAUGUGUCCCUUCUUUUUACAAAAGAAACAUCUGGACUCCUUCUUAAUAACUGGCUGAGCAGGAAUCUUUCCCUUCUUAUUAACUUGGUUCUUCUUAUUCUUAAACGAAGUGGUCAAGUUCACCUUCUCCCCUUCUUCAAUCAAUAGCCUUUCUUCUUCUUGAACGCACAUGGUCAAUAAUUCAUUAAUAGACCACUUAUCCUU
This 250-nucleotide long non-coding RNA is filed under the name Vigna radiata. RNAcentral's name for it is "long non-coding RNA (VRAD_LNC010220)". Lineage: Eukaryota; Viridiplantae; Streptophyta; Magnoliopsida; Fabales; Fabaceae. The record is from RNAcentral.